GAGCUAGUAGUUUAAUGAAAGAAAAGAACUCUAAUUUUGUAAUUUAGAAGUGGUGGAUCCCUAGCUCA
This 68-nucleotide transfer RNA is filed under the name Laemobothrion atrum. Its description in RNAcentral is "tRNA-Thr". Lineage: Eukaryota; Metazoa; Arthropoda; Insecta; Psocodea; Laemobothriidae. The record is from RNAcentral.